GGGUUGUGAGGUUAAGCGACUAAGCGUACACGGUGGAUGCCCUGGCAGUCAGAGGCGAUGAAGGACGUGCUAAUCUGCGAUAAGCGUCGGUAAGGUGAUAUGAACCGUUAUAACCGGCGAUUUCCGAAUGGGGAAACCCAGUGUGAUUCGUCACACUAUCAUUAACUAAAUCCAUAGGUUAAUGAGGCGAACCGGGGGAACUGAAACAUCUAAGUACCCCGAGGAAAAGAAAUCAACCGAGAUUCCCCCAGUAGCGGCGAGCGAACGGGGAGCAGCCCAGAGCCUGAAUCAGUGUGUGUGUUAGUGGAAGCGUCUGGAAAGGCGCGCGAUACAGGGUGACAGCCCCGUACACAAAAAUGCACAUACUGUGAGCUCGAUGAGUAGGGCGGGACACGUGGUAUCCUGUCUGAAUAUGGGGGGACCAUCCUCCAAGGCUAAAUACUCCUGACUGACCGAUAGUGAACCAGUACCGUGAGGGAAAGGCGAAAAGAACCCCGGCGAGGGGAGUGAAAAAGAACCUGAAACCGUGUACGUACAAGCAGUGGGAGCACAGAGCAAUCUGUGUGACUGCGUACCUUUUGUAUAAUGGGUCAGCGACUUAUAUUCUGUAGCAAGGUUAACCGAAUAGGGGAGCCGAAGGGAAACCGAGUCUUAACUGGGCGUUAAGUUGCAGGGUAUAGACCCGAAACCCGGUGAUCUAGCCAUGGGCAGGUUGAAGGUUGGGUAACACUAACUGGAGGACCGAACCGACUAAUGUUGAAAAAUUAGCGGAUGACUUGUGGCUGGGGGUGAAAGGCCAAUCAAACCGGGAGAUAGCUGGUUCUCCCCGAAAGCUAUUUAGGUAGCGCCUCGUGAAUUCAUCUCCGGGGGUAGAGCACUGUUUCGGCAAGGGGGUCAUCCCGACUUACCAACCCGAUGCAAACUGCGAAUACCGGAGAAUGUUAUCACGGGAGACACACGGCGGGUGCUAACGUCCGUCGUGAAGAGGGAAACAACCCAGACCGCCAGCUAAGGUCCCAAAGUCAUGGUUAAGUGGGAAACGAUGUGGGAAGGCCCAGACAGCCAGGAUGUUGGCUUAGAAGCAGCCAUCAUUUAAAGAAAGCGUAAUAGCUCACUGGUCGAGUCGGCCUGCGCGGAAGAUGUAACGGGGCUAAACCAUGCACCGAAGCUGCGGCAGCGACGCUUAUGCGUUGUUGGGUAGGGGAGCGUUCUGUAAGCCUGUGAAGGUGUACUGUGAGGUAUGCUGGAGGUAUCAGAAGUGCGAAUGCUGACAUAAGUAACGAUAAAGCGGGUGAAAAGCCCGCUCGCCGGAAGACCAAGGGUUCCUGUCCAACGUUAAUCGGGGCAGGGUGAGUCGACCCCUAAGGCGAGGCCGAAAGGCGUAGUCGAUGGGAAACAGGUUAAUAUUCCUGUACUUGGUGUUACUGCGAAGGGGGGACGGAGAAGGCUAUGUUGGCCGGGCGACGGUUGUCCCGGUUUAAGCGUGUAGGCUGGUUUUCCAGGCAAAUCCGGAAAAUCAAGGCUGAGGCGUGAUGACGAGGCACUACGGUGCUGAAGCAACAAAUGCCCUGCUUCCAGGAAAAGCCUCUAAGCAUCAGGUAACAUCAAAUCGUACCCCAAACCGACACAGGUGGUCAGGUAGAGAAUACCAAGGCGCUUGAGAGAACUCGGGUGAAGGAACUAGGCAAAAUGGUGCCGUAACUUCGGGAGAAGGCACGCUGAUAUGUAGGUGAAGUCCCUCGCGGAUGGAGCUGAAAUCAGUCGAAGAUACCAGCUGGCUGCAACUGUUUAUUAAAAACACAGCACUGUGCAAACACGAAAGUGGACGUAUACGGUGUGACGCCUGCCCGGUGCCGGAAGGUUAAUUGAUGGGGUCAGCGCAAGCGAAGCUCUUGAUCGAAGCCCCGGUAAACGGCGGCCGUAACUAUAACGGUCCUAAGGUAGCGAAAUUCCUUGUCGGGUAAGUUCCGACCUGCACGAAUGGCGUAAUGAUGGCCAGGCUGUCUCCACCCGAGACUCAGUGAAAUUGAACUCGCUGUGAAGAUGCAGUGUACCCGCGGCAAGACGGAAAGACCCCGUGAACCUUUACUAUAGCUUGACACUGAACAUUGAGCCUUGAUGUGUAGGAUAGGUGGGAGGCUUAGAAGUGUGGACGCCAGUCUGCAUGGAGCCGACCUUGAAAUACCACCCUUUAAUGUUUGAUGUUCUAACGUUGACCCGUAAUCCGGGUUGCGGACAGUGUCUGGUGGGUAGUUUGACUGGGGCGGUCUCCUCCUAAAGAGUAACGGAGGAGCACGAAGGUUGGCUAAUCCUGGUCGGACAUCAGGAGGUUAGUGCAAUGGCAUAAGCCAGCUUGACUGCGAGCGUGACGGCGCGAGCAGGUGCGAAAGCAGGUCAUAGUGAUCCGGUGGUUCUGAAUGGAAGGGCCAUCGCUCAACGGAUAAAAGGUACUCCGGGGAUAACAGGCUGAUACCGCCCAAGAGUUCAUAUCGACGGCGGUGUUUGGCACCUCGAUGUCGGCUCAUCACAUCCUGGGGCUGAAGUAGGUCCCAAGGGUAUGGCUGUUCGCCAUUUAAAGUGGUACGCGAGCUGGGUUUAGAACGUCGUGAGACAGUUCGGUCCCUAUCUGCCGUGGGCGCUGGAGAACUGAGGGGGGCUGCUCCUAGUACGAGAGGACCGGAGUGGACGCAUCACUGGUGUUCGGGUUGUCAUGCCAAUGGCACUGCCCGGUAGCUAAAUGCGGAAGAGAUAAGUGCUGAAAGCAUCUAAGCACGAAACUUGCCCCGAGAUGAGUUCUCCCUGACUCCUUGAGAGUCCUGAAGGAACGUUGAAGACGACGACGUUGAUAGGCCGGGUGUGUAAGCGCAGCGAUGCGUUGAGCUAACCGGUACUAAUGAACCGUGAGGCUUAACCUUACAACGCCGAAGGUGUUU
Molecule: ribosomal RNA, 2933 nt
Filed under: Escherichia coli
Lineage: Bacteria; Pseudomonadati; Pseudomonadota; Gammaproteobacteria; Enterobacterales; Enterobacteriaceae
Description: bacterial LSU rRNA
Rfam family: Bacterial large subunit ribosomal RNA
Source: RNAcentral